GACCACUUUGUAGAGGGCGGUUGCCACUUUCAAGAAGUGGAAUUUCACCACGAAAGGCUGUGGUUCAACUCCACAGCGUGGUUA
Molecule: transfer RNA, 84 nt
Filed under: Lavandula angustifolia
Lineage: Eukaryota; Viridiplantae; Streptophyta; Magnoliopsida; Lamiales; Lamiaceae
Description: tRNA-Leu
Source: RNAcentral